CACAGGACUAUUGUGAGGUCACAGGAAAUAAUGCAAAUCUGAGAGCUUUGAGAACCGCAAAAUCCUAUUUGGCCAUGAAUUAUUAUUAUUUAUUUCAAAUAGUGAUUGCGAGACGUUAUCUUUCAUAAUAAUUAUCAACCUAUGCUGUGUUGGCCAGGUCCUGCACAGAAAUGAGCACCCUCCACCUAGACACCUUCCAGUGUCCCUGCCAAGAAGAGUCACUCUCAGGCACAUGCACAGAGCUGGAAAUCUAGGAUGCGUGGGAUUGCAUUUCUGUCUUGAAGGAGUUGAUAUUCUUGGAGAAUUCAGAAACUAAGCAGUCACAGCAGCACACAGGAAACAAGGAUGAAUAAGCCAGAGUAUCCACUUCCAAGAAAUUGAGUCCAUUAGGGGAGAUUAACAUUACGCAGCUGACUCUGGUACAAAAAUGAUAUGUGUGACAUUAACAAUGAUCCAGAGUGCAAUGGGGACACAGAGUUCAGAGCGGUCCAUUCUGCCAGAAAAGGCCCCACCCAGGAGUUGGUAUUUGAGUGCAUUGAGUGGAAGAGUAUCCUGGGCAGAGGGAACAGAGCAAGCUAAAGCGAGGGGCCGCAGGAAGAAUAUAACGUGUUCUAAGAGCCACGCACAAAGAGUUUGAAACUGCUGGAGGGUUUAUAGAAAGUGCUUCAGCACAAUCUUGGGGAUGUCAACAGCUCUCAGCUGCCACCCUCCACCUCAUUUGGCACGCUCCCUGAGGCUGUGGCCUGUGUCCACCUAAUGGGCCAGUACAACACCUGGCCAAGUGCCGAUGGCAUUGUGGGGCUUAAUGAAUUCCCUUUGAAGAUGAGAGGACUGUGAGGGAGAGAAGAAUUUGCCACUCAAGUGAGUCAACUGGAACGGAAGGUGUGUCCGGCCACUCAGGCCCUGCUCUCUGGCUAGUCGACUAGACAGCCCGGGCCACCUCCCCUGGGUCCAUGGGGUUCUACUAGGGAACAUCAAGUCUUUUUUCAGCAAGUAGUUCCUAAGCCACGACACUUUUGGCUCAUCCUGUAUUUGUAGUUUUACCAACAUAAUUGAUCCCAGAGCUAGGUCUCCGCCAUACCCAUUCGUUUCCUAGGGAGGGAUGGUAUAUUUAGGCUGCUUUUAGAACACCAACACAACCCAGCCUCCUGGAGAUAGCAUGGAAGGACAUGUAAGAGGCAGACUUAAAUAGUCCUGAGCUGUGUAGUCAUCCUUUUGGGUUCUCUAAGCUUCCUGUCCUGAGCUAAGGUUUUUCUCCUGGGGUUAGCUGAGGCACCAAGAGAUAAACAAAGCUUUAAAGGGACUCUCCCCAUUGGAAAGCUGCACUGGAACCCAAGACGCUGCUUCGCCCUACCUUCCGAUGAGUGCAUCCAGCCUUCCAAUGAGUACACCCCUGUGUAGACUCUCUGAGGUGUGUGUGGGGCAGGGGGGGGGCGGGGGGAGGAAAGACCACACAAGCAUGAAACUUCUCUAAAAUGCCCUUCUUCAUACGUUGGGUCUACAAAAUGUCAAAACAGCCAGGUAAAUAACGCUAGGAUUCAUCAUGGCAGUGGGCAACCAGUCAACCCUGAUAUUUAACUCUGAGCCACCCAAACAACUCUUGGUGACUAAGGUUUUUUCCACUUACACCGGAUUCUUCUGCUUUCACCACACAAUUAUAUUAGCAAAUGAGAUCCCUGAGUAAGCAAAAUAGGCCCUUCACACACACAUUCCUUAGCCUACUACAGAUAAUUCAGAGCCAGGGAACAUUCAUUCACAUAAGCUUUUCAAAAUACACCUCCAAGCCAUUUUCACCAUGGAAUUGCUGUGAUCUCAAAAACCAAGCGUGUGCAAAAGCAGGCAGCCAGUGGUUUGCAAGAGAAUGAGAACUGAGCAAUGAACAAAAUUAACACUUACAACUUAUGUAACCGGCAAAAGAUUAACACCCAGAAUAUGGGGGAAGGAGGAGGCCCCUGCACAUCCAUAAGAAGGAGA
This is a long non-coding RNA of Neofelis nebulosa (Clouded leopard), 1974 nucleotides long. RefSeq lists it as uncharacterized. The record is from RefSeq and is a predicted model, not a curated record. The transcript is spliced from 3 exons. NCBI's taxonomy places the organism in Eukaryota, Metazoa, Chordata, Mammalia, Carnivora, Felidae.